RNAcentral lists this ribosomal RNA (208 nucleotides) under uncultured bacterium. Its description in RNAcentral is "partial 16S ribosomal RNA". It matches the Rfam family "Bacterial small subunit ribosomal RNA", at positions 568 to 773 of the family's 1533-position model. The record is from RNAcentral.
UCCGUAGGUGGGCGCUUAAGUCAGGGGUGAAAUCCCGCGGCCCAACCGCGGAACUGCCCUUGAUAAACUGGGCGCCUUGAGUCGCUGCGGGGCAGCCGGAAUAUGUGGUGUAGCGGUGAAAUGCAUAGAUAUCACAUAGAACACCGAUCGCGGAGGCAGGCUGCCAGCGGCGCACUGACACUGAUGGACGAAAGCGUGGGGAGCGAAC